This 72-nucleotide transfer RNA is filed under the name Ovis aries (sheep). It matches the Rfam family "tRNA". From Rfam's summary of the family: Transfer RNA (tRNA) molecules are approximately 80 nucleotides in length. Lineage: Eukaryota; Metazoa; Chordata; Mammalia; Artiodactyla; Bovidae. The record is from Rfam by way of RNAcentral.
UCCCAGGUGGCUCAGAUGGUAAAGAAUCUGCCUGCAAAGCAGGAGUCCCAGGUUCAAUCCCUGGGUUGGCAA